UUCCUACGGGGGGCAGCAGUGGGGAAUAUUGGACAAUGGGGGGAACCCUGAUCCAGCGACGCCGCGUGAGUGAAGAAGUAUUUUGGUAUGUAAAGCUCUAUCAGCAGGGAAGAAAGAAAUGACGGUACCUGACUAAGAAGCCCCGGCUAACUACGUGCCAGCAGCCGCGGUAAUACGUAGGGGGCAAGCGUUAUCCGGAUUUAUUGGGUUUAAAGGGUGCGCAGGCGGACCAUCAAGUCAGCGGUAAAAUCGUGGGGCCCAACCCCAUCCCGCCGUUGAAACUGGCGGUCUUGAGUGAGCGAGAA
RNAcentral lists this ribosomal RNA (305 nucleotides) under uncultured bacterium. RNAcentral's name for it is "bacterial SSU rRNA". It matches the Rfam family "Bacterial small subunit ribosomal RNA", at positions 336 to 656 of the family's 1533-position model. The record is from RNAcentral.